Molecule: long non-coding RNA, 314 nt
Filed under: Ananas comosus (pineapple)
Lineage: Eukaryota; Viridiplantae; Streptophyta; Magnoliopsida; Poales; Bromeliaceae
Description: long non-coding RNA (ACOM_LNC023686)
Source: RNAcentral
ACAAAAAUAUAGUUUUUUUAAAAAAUUUAAGUACCGUGACAUGGGAUUGUAUCUGAAACUUGCUGGCACGGUACGACACGAUGCGUGUCGGACCGUGACAAUGCGUGUCGGUCAUAAAAAAUAUAUGUAUGCUGACAUGUCAUACUAUGAAAUAUUUAUUUUCUUUAGUAAUAAAAUAUGUCAAUCAUUUAUUAUAUAUUUUUAUCAAAAUUUUUAAACUUUAUUGAGAAAAUUACUCACUGAUUUAAAGAAUAGAGGAUUUUGAACUGUGCCAUCGGUACGAAGGCUGUAUCGUACGAUGGAUACGGCUCCUA